RNAcentral lists this ribosomal RNA (505 nucleotides) under uncultured Glomus. RNAcentral's name for it is "SSU rRNA". It matches the Rfam family "Eukaryotic small subunit ribosomal RNA", at positions 572 to 1078 of the family's 1831-position model. The record is from RNAcentral. Lineage: Eukaryota; Fungi; Glomeromycota; Glomeromycetes; Glomerales; Glomeraceae.
AGCCGCGGUAAUUCCAGCUCCAAUAGCGUAUAUUAAAGUUGUUGCAGUUAAAAAGCUCGUAGUUGAAUUUCGGGGUUAGUAGGUUGGUCAUGCCUCUGGUAUGUACUGGUCUCACUGAUUCCUCCUUCCUGAUGAACCUUAAUGCCAUUUAUUUGGUGUUUUGGGGAAUUUGGACUGUUACUUUGAAAAAAUUAGAGUGUUUAAAGCAAGCUAACGCUUGAAUACAUUAGCAUGGAAUAAUGAAAUAGGACGUUCGAUCCUAUUUUGUUGGUUUCUAGGAUUGACGUAAUGAUUAAUAGGGAUAGUUGGGGGCAUUAGUAUUCAAUUGUCAGAGGUGAAAUUCUUGGAUUUAUUGAAGACUAACUACUGCGAAAGCAUUUGCCAAGGAUGUUUUCAUUAAUCAAGAACGAAAGUUAGGGGAUCGAAGACGAUCAGAUACCGUCGUAGUCUUAACCAUAAACUAUGCCGACUAGGGAUCGGAUGAUGUUAAUUUUUUAAUGACUCA